This 166-nucleotide ribosomal RNA is filed under the name Solanum multispinum. Its description in RNAcentral is "5.8S ribosomal RNA". It matches the Rfam family "5.8S ribosomal RNA". From Rfam's summary of the family: 5.8S ribosomal RNA (5.8S rRNA) is a component of the large subunit of the eukaryotic ribosome. Lineage: Eukaryota; Viridiplantae; Streptophyta; Magnoliopsida; Solanales; Solanaceae. The record is from RNAcentral. RNAcentral also lists the same sequence under 4 other names.
CAGAACGACUCUCGGCAACGGAUAUCUCGGCUCUCGCAUCGAUGAAGAACGUAGCGAAAUGCGAUACUUGGUGUGAAUUGCAGAAUCCCGUGAACCAUCGAGUCUUUGAACGCAAGUUGCGCCCGAAGCCGUCAGGCCGAGGGCACGUCUGCCUGGGCGUCACGCA